This 274-nucleotide long non-coding RNA is filed under the name Mytilus galloprovincialis (Mediterranean mussel). The record is from RNAcentral. Lineage: Eukaryota; Metazoa; Mollusca; Bivalvia; Mytilida; Mytilidae.
AUGAGCUAGAACUUGUGUAUAAUGAUAAUGGCUAAAAGGCAUUUAAACGGGUAUUUAGACCACUCUGAAUUUGCUUGUUUUUGCAAGACAAGUUUGGGUGACAUCCCUACCACUAUAAGCUAUUGAUAUGUGAAUUUUCUUAACUAUGCUGUACAUGUCUUCAAGACAUACAUAAUAUUUUUAAAACAUCUUCAUCUGAUGAAUAUCGUUUUUAACAAUUUUUUUUAAAUCUUCACAUUGAAGAACUUAAUACCUUCAUUAUCAACAAAAUAUU